This is a long non-coding RNA of Scomber japonicus (chub mackerel), 291 nucleotides long. RefSeq lists it as uncharacterized. NCBI's taxonomy places the organism in Eukaryota, Metazoa, Chordata, Actinopteri, Scombriformes, Scombridae. The transcript is spliced from 3 exons. The record is from RefSeq and is a predicted model, not a curated record.
AUGAGACUGUCUGUGAAUCAACAGACCUUAAAAAUCUCCUGCUCUGAGUUACAUGUUUAUUCUUCUGGUUGGAUUCCUGGUUGAAGCUGCUGAUAUAUUUCACCUUCACUCAUCGGCUUCAUUAAGAUGAUUUUCAGCAUCUAAAGGUAGAAUGACUCUGUGACAGGAUGUGGAUCUGAAGUCACCUGGUGUUUCUCUGCUAUGGAUCAGUGUGAGGACAGAGAGGAGGGAGUCCCUCCCUCUAAAAGCUCUCUGUGUGGGGAACAUGACAGCCAGACCAAAGCUCAGAGG